UGAGAGCAUUGAUAUCCUGAGAAGUAGGCAUUGUGCUAAACUCUGCUGGAAGAAAUACUUCAGAUGGCACAAAAUUGAUGCCACUUGUAGGCUCCCCGUCUUCCUGUCUGCUAUUGUUCACUGAGGCAUCAUGCAAGGAAAUGUUCUUCGCAGGAUCAGAAGUGCUACUGACAGACACAUCCUCUGUGCCAACUGCAGGUUCAUUUCCACAGGUACUUGAGAUAGCUGGUACACGAUCACCUGCCAGAAAUGAGCAACAAAUUUCAGUGACUGAUACCAUGUAAUCAAAACUAGUAACGUGUAAAGUCAACUUGCAGCUUUGAUUCAGCAACAUUUUGUGCUUCCGAAUGGUAAUUCUCAGUUGGAAGCUCAAAUAAGUCGUCGCUCCUGGUAUCAUCUAGAAUGAACGGAUUCUUUGUGGACACUUGAUCCAUUAGUAAGGCAACAUGCUGACUUGCAGAGACCUGGCCUAUAAUAGGAACCUCAGGGCCAAUCUCUUUGCUGCAGACCACCUCUUCUUGUUGUGGGUUCUCCUCACAAGAAAAACCCAACUCACUGCCCUUCGCUUUGAUGCCUUCACUACAAAUAUCUUCAUCAUCAGAACCCCACAUGCUAUCCAUAUUAGUAACAACAUGGUCACUCUGAUGACCAUCUAAAGAACAUACUGAAUUACCCAGGAACGGAUUCUCAACAGGCAGCUGGGCAUCUAAAGUAUCUUUAACACACUUGUACUGUGAAGAGCAAUCUGUCAAGGUAUUUACAGCAUUGGUGAGCUUCAGUUGAUCUUCAGUUUGCACAAAGUCAAUUCUGGAAUUUUCUGUUACAGAUUCAGCAUUGGCUGAUCCUGCUUUUUCUUCCAAACUUGGUGAUACUUCAGAUAUGAUGUGCAGAGCAUCCAUGCUAUCUUCCAUCAAGCUUUCAACCAUUAUGGGACUUGUAGAUUGGGAUGUUAGGUCAGAAAUAAAUGAAGUUGAACCAUUCACAUCACCAAUAAACUCAGAUGUCUUAUCAGGUUUGCUGUCAACAAUAUAUGUAUUAUCACUGUGAACAUUAACUGAGAAUUCAUCUGAACUCUCAAGCAUCACAGUAGGCUCAACUUCUUUUCCAACUAUGGAUUCACCAGAUAAAUUAGUCAUAUUGGGUUGUCCUGAUAACUGAUCUUUCGAUACUCCAUCCAUUUCCACAGAAAUUUCAUUUGCUGCUACACUUGCUGCUGGUGAAACACUAUCCAAAUUCUUAAUUUCUUCAAUAGAAAAAUCUGACUUAUGUGCUACUGCUGCACCAACUUCAGAAUCUGGUUGAUGAAGAAAAGGAGACGCGUCCUGGUACUCAUCAAGACUAUCUUCUCGUUCAGCCGGACGUCCAACUGCAAGUGGUGAAAUUUCAGAGUAAUGUUCUGCAACUUAAUUUUGACUUCAUUGGUGCAAGGCCUUCAUAAGUUAGUUUUCAUACCUUCUUUUG
Molecule: small RNA, 1461 nt
Filed under: Oryza sativa Japonica Group (Japanese rice)
Lineage: Eukaryota; Viridiplantae; Streptophyta; Magnoliopsida; Poales; Poaceae
Description: sRNA Os09g0502150
Source: RNAcentral